This 48-nucleotide non-coding RNA is filed under the name Schistosoma curassoni. The record is from RNAcentral. Lineage: Eukaryota; Metazoa; Platyhelminthes; Trematoda; Strigeidida; Schistosomatidae.
AUCCUCCUGACGAGUCCCAAACGAGACGAAACGCGUGUCGAACUGGAU